GCAUUGGUGGUUGAGUGGUAGAAUUCACACCUCCCAUAUGGGAGACCCAGGUUCGAUUCUCUGCCAGUGCA
Molecule: transfer RNA, 71 nt
Filed under: Loxodonta africana (African savanna elephant)
Lineage: Eukaryota; Metazoa; Chordata; Mammalia; Proboscidea; Elephantidae
Rfam family: tRNA
About the family: Transfer RNA (tRNA) molecules are approximately 80 nucleotides in length. Their secondary structure includes four short double-helical elements and three loops (D, anti-codon, and T loops).
Source: Rfam by way of RNAcentral